Macaca mulatta (Rhesus monkey) is the source of this 1586-nucleotide long non-coding RNA. The record is from Ensembl. NCBI's taxonomy places the organism in Eukaryota, Metazoa, Chordata, Mammalia, Primates, Cercopithecidae.
CGUAGAGACGAGAGACCCGCGCGCCCUGCAGCAGCACCCUCCCGGCCCAGAGCCGGGCUGCCGGCAGGACUUCUGAAACGGAAACCUGGACCAGGGCCACCCCGGGCACAGGGAACGCGGCGGGCGAGGCGCAUCCUCGCCGCUCAGCCUCCGUCUCCCCGCAUCUCUCGGACGUCAACAAACCCUGACCACAAAGUGAAACUUUCCUGCCCCCCGCGGUCGCGCCGGGUCUCUGCCCUCUGCCUGGGACCGCGUCGCGGGGACAGGUGUGGGGCCGGGGCUGAGGAGGGGCCCCCGCCCCAGGGCCGGAGCUGGGACCCCAGGAUGACCUAAGGAACAAGGAUUCAGACCCAGACUCCACGGUGAAUUGACCUUAUUCACCUGUGAAUGAACAUCCAGGAGAAAACCAAACCCGAAUGGGCCAGGCUCUAACCAGAGGAGACCCCAAAACUGUGAUCUGCAUCAGAAAAUGAGCCAGCCAACCGGUUCCUGGCUCUGCCGGGUCUAGGGGUGCUUUAUUCAAGCGCUGGGUUCGCUCCCUGGUCAGCAAGUAUGAGGUGUUUGCAGAGGGUCUAGAAGAUGUGAAGUGAGAUUAGCCCGCAUUAGGGCUGUGCCAAACAGAAAGUGAGUGAUGCUGAAGAAAGUGGCCUCUUCUGCUCCAGCCCUCCCUCCUCCUCCCCAUCCCCUGGCUCUCCCACCUCUCCCGCCGCACCAGCUCCCUACCCUCAGCUUGUAAACAGUAUCAGGUCUCGCCCAACAAAAAUCAGUUCUACUCAAGAGAACUGGAAACAUGUCUAUAGUAAAACUUGUACACGAAUGUUCAUAGCAGCGUAUUCAGAAGGCCAAAAAAGGAAACAACUGAAUGUCCAUCGAUUGACAAAUGGAUAAGCAAAUUAUGGUCCAUCCAUACAAUGGAAUAGUAUUCUGCCAUAAAAAAAUAAUGAAUUCUGUUACAUGUUACAACAUGGAUAAACCUUAAAAACAUUGUAGUGCUCAAUGAAAGAAACCAGUCACAAAAACCCACAUAGUGUAUGAUUCUAUUUAUAUGAAAUGUCCAAAAUAGGCAAAUCCAUAGAGACAGUAGACUAAUGGUUGCCAGGGACUGGGAGGAGGGGGGAAUGAGGAGUGACUGCUUAAUGAGUACAAAGCCUCUUUGGGGGGUGAUUAAAAUGUUAAGGAAUUAGACAGUGGUGAUGUACCACCAUGAUGAUGACUGUACAACUUUGUGAAUAUAACAAAAAACCCCACAGAAUUGUAUACUUUAAAAGGUGAAUUUUAUGGCAUGUGAAUGAUAAUUUAAACCAAAAAUCCAAAUGACCAAAUAAUUAAAAACAAAACAAACAAACAAAAACCUCUCGACACUGUAUGCCCUCCAAGUUACCAUGCAGUUAACCAGCCCUUCUCAUCCAAGAUUCUUGCAAGGGUAGCCCACACAUUUUCACUCCCACUUACACAUUAGCUUCCUAGAAUGUGGCUUCUGCCUGCACCAGAGCUCAAAUCUGCUCUCUCCUUGAAAUUUUAUCCUGUGGCUUUCUAUGACCCCGCACAUUCCUGGUUCCCCUCCUCCUUCUGUUCUUUGUCUUUUG